GAGAUUCCCCCAGUAGCGGCGAGCGAACGGGGAGCAGCCCAGAGCCUGAAUCAGUGUGUGUGUUAGUGGAAGCGUCUGGAAAGGCGCGCGAUACAGGGUGACAGCCCCGUACACAAAAAUGCACAUAUUGUGAGCUCGAUGAGUAGGGCGGGACACGUGGUAUCCUGUCUGAAUAUGGGGGGACCAUCCUCCAAGGCUAAAUACUCCUGACUGACCGAUAGUGAACCAGUACCGUGAAGGAAAGGCGAAAAGAAC
This 255-nucleotide ribosomal RNA is filed under the name Escherichia coli. Its description in RNAcentral is "partial 23S ribosomal RNA". It matches the Rfam family "Bacterial large subunit ribosomal RNA", at positions 231 to 524 of the family's 2925-position model. The record is from RNAcentral. Lineage: Bacteria; Pseudomonadati; Pseudomonadota; Gammaproteobacteria; Enterobacterales; Enterobacteriaceae.